CCUUUCCCCCUUCAGAAGGAGCUGUUUGUUGAAACCAUAGCCAAAGAUGCUUAUGUGUACGCCCAGCAAGGAAAAAGGAAAACUCUGCAGAGAAAAGACCUUGAUAAUGCCAUUGAAGCUAUCGACGAAUUUGCUUUUUUGGAAGGUACUUUGGACUGAGCUGAACAGAGAUUGAACUCCCUGGAGAAAGAGACUGCAGAGAUGGUGUGAGAUGGAAAACAGGAUGCUGAGAGUUCAAAAAUGAUUCCUGGAAUUGAAACACUGAAAUGGCAACCAUGAUAUUUUGUAUAAAGUUGAAGUUAUUGUAAGCUCUUUAUUUAAAAUGCAUAUUUUUCCAUAACUAUUUUGUAUGUCACUUCCCCCUGCCCUGCAGCUGCUCUCUGUUCUGGCCAGGUUACACAGCAGUUACUCUGUUCUGGUCUCUCUGGGUGCUCUGCAGCACCACAGAGCUGUGAGCAGAGAGUGGCUCAGCUCAGGUGCCCAGGCACAGGGAAUUUUUUUUAAUGGAAAUGUGGGUUUUGUUAUAUAUGUUUGUCUCUUAACACAAUUAAAUUUUUAUUUUUUUGUUGUUGUUGA
Long non-coding RNA from Manacus vitellinus (golden-collared manakin), 576 nucleotides. RefSeq lists it as uncharacterized. NCBI's taxonomy places the organism in Eukaryota, Metazoa, Chordata, Aves, Passeriformes, Pipridae. The transcript has 4 exons. The record is from RefSeq and is a predicted model, not a curated record.